GUCCACGCUGUAAACGAUGUCAACUAGCCGUUGGUCCUAUUUACAGGAUUAGUGGCGCAGCUAACGCAUUAAGUUGACCGCCUGGGGAGUACGGCCGCAAGGUUAAAACUCAAAUGAAUUGACGGGGGCCCCGCACAAGCGGUGGAGCAUGUGGUUUAAUUCGAUGCAACGCGAAGAACCUUACCUACCCUUGACAUCCAGAGAAUCUGUUAGAGAUAGUGGAGUGCCUUCGGGAACUCUGAGACAGGUGCUGCAUGGCUGUCGU
RNAcentral lists this ribosomal RNA (265 nucleotides) under uncultured bacterium. RNAcentral describes it as "partial 16S ribosomal RNA". It matches the Rfam family "Bacterial small subunit ribosomal RNA", at positions 793 to 1055 of the family's 1533-position model. The record is from RNAcentral.